This 776-nucleotide ribosomal RNA is filed under the name uncultured Neocallimastigales. RNAcentral's name for it is "partial large subunit ribosomal RNA". It matches the Rfam family "Eukaryotic large subunit ribosomal RNA", at positions 22 to 646 of the family's 3401-position model. The record is from RNAcentral. Lineage: Eukaryota; Fungi; Neocallimastigomycota; Neocallimastigomycetes; Neocallimastigales.
AUAUCAGUCAUGCAUAGCAUAUCAAUAAGCGGAGGAAAAGAAACUAACAAGGAUUCCCUUAGUAACGGCGAAUGAAGCGGGAAGAGCUCAAAUUUGAAAUCUUCAAGGUUUUACCUUGACGAAUUGUAGUUUAAAGAAGUGUUUUCUGUUGGAGUUUUGGUAAAAGUUCUUUGGAAUAGGACAUCAUAGAGGGUGAGAAUCCCGUAUUUGACCAUUAUUUCCAACUUUGUGAUACACUUUCAAAGAGUCGGAUUGUUAGGGAAUGCAGUCCAAAAUGGGUGGUAAAUUUCAUCUAAAGCUAAAUACUGGCGAGAGACCGAUAGCGAACAAGUACCGUGAGGGAAAGAUGAAAAGAACUUUGAAAAGAGAGUUAAACAGUACGUGAAAUUGUCAAAAGGGAAGCGUUUGACACCAGUGUUGUUUUCCCUCGAAAAUCAAUUAAAAAUGGUGGGAUUUUGUGUUGUAUUGACCUUAUCAGCUUCCUGCACUUUUUUCCUGUCUUUUUUAAUGCACUUUUCGUUUAACAAGUCAACAUCAAUUUCUUUUGUUGUAAAAGGGUCAUUGGAAGGUGGCUUUCUUUUCGGAGAAAGUGUUUAUAGCCUUUGGCCUCUGCAAUCGGAGAGAUUGAGGCCUGCAGCGUAGAUCCUUCGGGGUUAGAUGCAUUUGUGCUAAGCUAUAGCCUUUCAUAGACAACUUGUUGACUAUGAUCAGUCAUGUAACUUACUCGCUUAUGCUAUUUUACCUACGCUUAGGAUGUUGAUGUGAUACUGCGAGCA